Molecule: ribosomal RNA, 468 nt
Filed under: uncultured bacterium
Lineage: Bacteria
Description: partial 16S ribosomal RNA
Rfam family: Bacterial small subunit ribosomal RNA
Source: RNAcentral
GACGAACGCUGGCGGCGUGCUUAACACAUGCAAGUCGAACGGAAAGGCCCUGCUUUUGUGGGGUGCUCGAGUGGCGAACGGGUGAGUAACACGUGAGUAACCUGCCCUUGACUUUGGGAUAACUUCAGGAAACUGGGGCUAAUACCUGAUAGGAGCUCCUGCUGCAUGGUGGGGGUUGGAAAGUUUCGGCGGUUGGGGAUGGACUGGCGGCUUAUCAGCUUGUUGGUGGGGUAGUGGCUUACCAAGGCUUUGACGGGUAGCCGGCCUGGGAGGGUGACCGGCCACAUUGGGACUGAGAUACGGCCCAGACUCCUACGGGAGGCAGCAGUGGGGAAUAUUGCACAAUGGGCGGAAGCCUGAUGCAGCAACGCCGCGUGCGGGAUGACGGCCUUCGGGUUGUAAACCGCUUUCGCCUGUGACGAAGCGUGAGUGACGGUAAUGGGUAAAGAAGCACCGGCUAACUACGUG